UGCUCUGAUGAUUCAUGAUAAC
This 22-nucleotide non-coding RNA is filed under the name Arabidopsis thaliana (thale cress). The record is from RNAcentral. Lineage: Eukaryota; Viridiplantae; Streptophyta; Magnoliopsida; Brassicales; Brassicaceae.